Molecule: ribosomal RNA, 254 nt
Filed under: uncultured bacterium
Lineage: Bacteria
Description: partial 16S ribosomal RNA
Rfam family: Bacterial small subunit ribosomal RNA
Source: RNAcentral
UACAGAGGGGGCAAGCGUUGUUCGGAAUUACUGGGCGUAAAGGGCGCGUAGGUGGCCUUCUAAGUUGAACGUGAAAUCCCUGGGCUCAACCCAGGAACUGCGUCCAAGACUGGGAGGCUUGAAUCCGGGAGAGGGAUGCGGAAUUCCAGGUGUAGCGGUGAAAUUCGUAGAUAUUGGGAAGAACACCGGUGGCGAAGGCGGCGACCUGGUCCUUUUACUGACGCUGAGGCGCGAAAGCGUGGGGAGCAAACAGG